UUAUCCGGGUUGCGGACAGUGUCUGGUGGGUAGUUUGACUGGGGCGGUCUCCUCCUAAAGAGUAACGGAGGAGCACGAAGGUUGGCUAAUCCUGGUCGGACAUCAGGAGGUUAGUGCAAUGGCAUAAGCCAGCUUGACUGCGAGCGUGACGGCGCGAGCAGGUGCGAAAGCAGGUCAUAGUGAUCCGGUGGUUCUGAAUGGAAGGGCCAUCGCUCAACGGAUAAAAGGUACUCCGGGGAUAACAGGCUGAUACCGCCCAAGAGUUCAUAUCGACGGCGGUGUUUGGCACCUCGAUGUCGGCUCAUCACAUCCUGGGGCUGAAGUAGGUCCCAAGGGUAUGGCUGUUCGCCAUUUAAAGUGGUACGCGAGCUGGGUUUAGAACGUCGUGAGACAGUUCGGUCCCUAUCUGCCGUGGGCGCUGGAGAACUGAGGGGGGCUGCUCCUAGUACGAGAGGACCGGAGUGGACGCAUCACUGGUGUUCGGGUUGUCAUGCCAAUGGCACUGCCCGGUAGCUAAAUGCGGAAGAGAUAAGUGCUGAAAGCAUCUAAGCACGAAACUUGCCCCGAGAUGAGUUCUCCCUGACUCCCUGAGAGUCCUGAAGGAACGUUGAAGACGACGACGUUGAUAGGCCGGGUGUGUAAGCGCAGCGAUGCGUUGAGCUAACCGGUACUAAUGAACCGUGAGG
RNAcentral lists this ribosomal RNA (686 nucleotides) under Escherichia coli. Its description in RNAcentral is "bacterial LSU rRNA". It matches the Rfam family "Bacterial large subunit ribosomal RNA", at positions 2236 to 2915 of the family's 2925-position model. The record is from RNAcentral. Lineage: Bacteria; Pseudomonadati; Pseudomonadota; Gammaproteobacteria; Enterobacterales; Enterobacteriaceae.